UACGUAGGAGGCAAGCGUUGUCCGGAUUUACUGGGCGUAAAGAGCGUGUAGGCGGUCCGGUAAGUCAGCUGUGAAAGUCAAGGGCUCAACCCUUGAAAGCCGGUUGAUACUGUCGGGCUAGAGUCCGGAAGAGGCGAGUGGAAUUCCCGGUGUAGCGGUGAAAUGCGCAGAUAUCGGGAGGAACACCAAUGGCGAAGGCAGCUCGCUGGGACGGUACUGACGCUGAGACGCGAAAGCGUGGGGAGCAAACAGG
This 253-nucleotide ribosomal RNA is filed under the name uncultured bacterium. RNAcentral describes it as "partial 16S ribosomal RNA". It matches the Rfam family "Bacterial small subunit ribosomal RNA", at positions 524 to 776 of the family's 1533-position model. The record is from RNAcentral.